GACGAACGCUGGCGGCGUGCCUAAUACAUGCAAGUAGAACGCUGAAGGAGGAGCUUGCUCUUCUGGAUGAGUUGCGAACGGGUGAGUAACGCGUAGGUAACCUGCCUGGUAGCGGGGGAUAACUAUUGGAAACGAUAGCUAAUACCGCAUAACAGUAAAUGUUGCAUGACAUUUGCUUAGAAGGUGCAAUUGCAUCACUACCAGAUGGACCUGGGUUGUAUUAGCUAGUUGGUGGGGUAACGGCUCACCAAGGCGACGAUACAUAGCCGACCUGAGAGGGUGAUCGGCCACACUGGGACUGAGACACGGCCCAGACUCCUACGGGAGGCAGCAGUAGGGAAUCUUCGGCAAUGGACGGAAGUCUGACCGAGCAACGCCGCGUGAGUGAAGAAGGUUUUCGGAUCGUAAAGCUCUGUUGUAAGAGAAGAACGAGUGUGAGAGUGGAAAGUUCACACUGUGACGGUAUCUUACCAGAAAGGGACGGCUAACUACGUGCCAGCCGCCGCAGUAA
RNAcentral lists this ribosomal RNA (511 nucleotides) under uncultured bacterium. Its description in RNAcentral is "partial 16S ribosomal RNA". It matches the Rfam family "Bacterial small subunit ribosomal RNA", at positions 28 to 523 of the family's 1533-position model. The record is from RNAcentral.